CAAUAGCGUAUAUUAAAGUUGUUGCAGUUAAAAAGCUCGUAGUUGGAUUUCGGGGUGGCCUGGCUGGUCCGCCGCAAGGUGAGUACUGGUCAGCCGCCCUUCCUCUCGAAAGCCCCGACUGCUCUUUACUGCAGUGGUCGGGUAGUUCGGGACGUUUACUUUGAAAAAAUUAGAGUGUUCAAGGCAGGCUAUCGCCUGAAUACAUUAGCAUGGAAUAAUGGAAGAGGACCUCGGUCCUAUUUUGUUGGUUUCUAGGGCCGAAGUAAUGAUUAAGAGGGACAGUUGGGGGCAUUCGUAUCUAAUUGUCAGAGGUGAAAUUCUUGGAUUUAUGAAAGACGAACUAGUGCGAAAGCAUUUGCCAAGGAUGUUUUCAUUAA
RNAcentral lists this ribosomal RNA (377 nucleotides) under uncultured eukaryote. RNAcentral's name for it is "partial 18S ribosomal RNA". It matches the Rfam family "Eukaryotic small subunit ribosomal RNA", at positions 592 to 976 of the family's 1831-position model. The record is from RNAcentral.